RNAcentral lists this ribosomal RNA (537 nucleotides) under uncultured bacterium. RNAcentral describes it as "partial 16S ribosomal RNA". It matches the Rfam family "Bacterial small subunit ribosomal RNA", at positions 355 to 909 of the family's 1533-position model. The record is from RNAcentral.
UGGGGAAUAUUGGACAAUGGGCGCAAGCCUGAUCCAGCCAUGCCGCGUGAGUGAUGAAGGCCUUAGGGUUGUAAAGCUCUUUCGCCGGUGAAGAUAGUGACGGUAACCGGAGAAGAAGCCCCGGCUAACUUCGUGCCAGCAGCCGCGGUAAUACGAAGGGGGCUAGCGUUGCUCGGAAUCACUGGGCGUAAAGCGCACGUAGGCGGAUCGUUAAGUCAGGGGUGAAAUCCUGGAGCUCAACUCCAGAACUGCCCUUGAUACUGGCGAUCUCGAGUUCGAGAGAGGUUGGUGGAACUCCGAGUGUAGAGGUGAAAUUCGUAGAUAUUCGGAAGAACACCAGUGGCGAAGGCGGCCAACUGGCUCGAUACUGACGCUGAGGUGCGAAAGCGUGGGGAGCAAAACAGGAUUAGAUACCCUGGUAGUCCACGCCGUAAACGAUGGAUGCUAGCCGUUGGGGGGUUUACCUCUCAGUGGCGCAGCUAACGCCUUAAGCAUCCCGCCUGGGGAGUACGGUCGCAAGAUUAAAACUCAAAGGAA